GGGAUUGCCUCAGUAACGGCGAGUGAAGCGGCAACAGCUCAAAUUUGAAAUCUGACCCUUCCGGGGUCCGAGUUGUAAUUUAUAGAGAGUGCUUCGGGCGAGAUCGUGGUCUAAGUUCAUUGGAACAUGGCGUCAUAGAGGGUGAGAAUCCCGUAUGCGACCGUGGAUCGAGCCCAUGUGAAGCCUCUUCGAUGAGUCGAGUUGUUUGGGAAUGCAGCUCAAAAUGGGUGGUAAAUUUCAUCUAAAGCUAAAUACUGGCUGGAGACCGAUAGCGCACAAGUAGAGUGAUCGAAAGAUGAAAAGCACUUUGGAAAGAGAGUUAAAAAGUACGUGAAAUUGUUGAAAGGGAAGCGCUUGCAACCAGACCUGUCCGUAGGUGAUCAGCCGCUGUUUUUCAGUGGUGCACUCKCUCUGCGAUCAGGCCARCAUCGGUUCGGGCGGUCRGAUAAAGGCCUUGGGAAUGUAKCUCCUCUCGGGGAGUCUUAUAGCCCUCGGUGCAAUGCGGCCAGCCGGGACCGAGGACCGCGCUUCRGCUAGGAUGCUGGCGUAAUGGUUGUAAGCGACCCGUCUUGAAACACGGACCAAGGAGUCUAACAUCUAUGCGAGUGUUUGGGUGUCAAACCCAUGCGCGGAAUGAAAGUGAACGGAGGUGAGAACCCUUAAGGGCGCAUCAUCGACCGAUCCAGAUGUCUUCGGAUGGAUUUGAGUAUGAGCAUAGCUGUUGGGACCCGAAAGAUGGUGAACUAUGCCUGAAUAGGGUGAAGCCAGAGGAAACUCUGGUGGAGGCUCGCAGCGGUUCUGACGUGCAAAUCGAUCGUCAAAUUUG
This 826-nucleotide ribosomal RNA is filed under the name Hypogymnia delavayi. RNAcentral's name for it is "partial large subunit ribosomal RNA". It matches the Rfam family "Eukaryotic large subunit ribosomal RNA", at positions 71 to 913 of the family's 3401-position model. Lineage: Eukaryota; Fungi; Ascomycota; Lecanoromycetes; Lecanorales; Parmeliaceae. The record is from RNAcentral.